This 2917-nucleotide ribosomal RNA is filed under the name Pseudomonas syringae. Its description in RNAcentral is "23S ribosomal RNA". It matches the Rfam family "Bacterial large subunit ribosomal RNA". Lineage: Bacteria; Pseudomonadati; Pseudomonadota; Gammaproteobacteria; Pseudomonadales; Pseudomonadaceae. The record is from RNAcentral.
GUUAUAUGGUCAAGUGAAGAAGCGCAUACGGUGGAUGCCUUGGCAGUCAGAGGCGAUGAAAGACGUGGUAGCCUGCGAAAAGCUUCGGGGAGUCGGCAAACAGACUGUGAUCCGGAGAUGUCUGAAUGGGGGAACCCAGCCAUCAUAAGAUGGUUAUCUUACACUGAAUACAUAGGUGUAAGAGGCGAACCAGGGGAACUGAAACAUCUAAGUACCCUGAGGAAAAGAAAUCAACCGAGAUUCCCUUAGUAGUGGCGAGCGAACGGGGACCAGCCCUUAAGUUGUAUUGAGAUUAGCGGAACGCUCUGGAAAGGGCGGCCAUAGUGGGUGAUAGCCCUGUACGCGAAAAUCCCUUUGCAAUGAAAUCGAGUAGGACGGGGCACGAGAAACCUUGUCUGAAUAUGGGGGGACCAUCCUCCAAGGCUAAAUACUACUGACUGACCGAUAGUGAACCAGUACCGUGAGGGAAAGGCGAAAAGAACCGCGGAGAGCGGAGUGAAAUAGAUCCUGAAACCGUAUGCGUACAAGCAGUGGGAGCCCACUUUGUUGGGUGACUGCGUACCUUUUGUAUAAUGGGUCAGCGACUUAUUUUCAGUGGCGAGCUUAACCGAAUAGGGGAGGCGUAGCGAAAGCGAGUCUUAAUAGGGCGUCUAGUCGCUGGGAAUAGACCCGAAACCGGGCGAUCUAUCCAUGGGCAGGUUGAAGGUUGGGUAACACUAACUGGAGGACCGAACCGACUACCGUUGAAAAGUUAGCGGAUGACCUGUGGAUCGGAGUGAAAGGCUAAUCAAGCUCGGAGAUAGCUGGUUCUCCUCGAAAGCUAUUUAGGUAGCGCCUCAUGUAUCACUGUAGGGGGUAGAGCACUGUUUCGGCUAGGGGGUCAUCCCGACUUACCAAACCGAUGCAAACUCCGAAUACCUACAAGUGCCGAGCAUGGGAGACACACGGCGGGUGCUAACGUCCGUCGUGAAAAGGGAAACAACCCAGACCGUCAGCUAAGGUCCCAAAGUCAUGGUUAAGUGGGAAACGAUGUGGGAAGGCUUAGACAGCUAGGAGGUUGGCUUAGAAGCAGCCACCCUUUAAAGAAAGCGUAAUAGCUCACUAGUCGAGUCGGCCUGCGCGGAAGAUGUAACGGGGCUCAAACCAUGCACCGAAGCUACGGGUAUCACCUUUGGUGAUGCGGUAGAGGAGCGUUCUGUAAGCCUGUGAAGGUGAGUUGAGAAGCUUGCUGGAGGUAUCAGAAGUGCGAAUGCUGACAUGAGUAACGACAAUGGGUGUGAAAAACACCCACGCCGAAAGACCAAGGUUUCCUGCGCAACGUUAAUCGACGCAGGGUUAGUCGGUCCCUAAGGCGAGGCUGAAAAGCGUAGUCGAUGGAAAACAGGUUAAUAUUCCUGUACUUCUGGUUAUUGCGAUGGAGGGACGGAGAAGGCUAGGCCAGCCUGGCGUUGGUAGUCCAGGUUUAAGGUGGUAGGCUGAGAUCUUAGGUAAAUCCGGGAUCUUAAGGCCGAGAGCUGAUGACGAGUGUUCUUUUAGAACAUGAAGUGGUUGAUGCCAUGCUUCCAAGAAAAGCUUCUAAGCUUCAGGUAACCAGGAACCGUACCCCAAACCGACACAGGUGGUUGGGUAGAGAAUACCAAGGCGCUUGAGAGAACUCGGGUGAAGGAACUAGGCAAAAUGGCACCGUAACUUCGGGAGAAGGUGCGCCGGUGAGGGUGAAGCAUUUACUGCGUAAGCCCACGCCGGUCGAAGAUACCAGGCCGCUGCGACUGUUUAUUAAAAACACAGCACUCUGCAAACACGAAAGUGGACGUAUAGGGUGUGACGCCUGCCCGGUGCCGGAAGGUUAAUUGAUGGGGUUAGCGCAAGCGAAGCUCUUGAUCGAAGCCCCGGUAAACGGCGGCCGUAACUAUAACGGUCCUAAGGUAGCGAAAUUCCUUGUCGGGUAAGUUCCGACCUGCACGAAUGGCGUAACGAUGGCGGCGCUGUCUCCACCCGAGACUCAGUGAAAUUGAAAUCGCUGUGAAGAUGCAGUGUAUCCGCGGCUAGACGGAAAGACCCCGUGAACCUUUACUAUAGCUUUGCACUGGACUUUGAAUUUGCUUGUGUAGGAUAGGUGGGAGGCUUUGAAGCGUGGACGCCAGUCUGCGUGGAGCCAACCUUGAAAUACCACCCUGGCAACUUUGAGGUUCUAACUCAGGUCCGUUAUCCGGAUCGAGGACAGUGUAUGGUGGGUAGUUUGACUGGGGCGGUCUCCUCCUAAAGAGUAACGGAGGAGUACGAAGGUGCGCUCAGACCGGUCGGAAAUCGGUCGUAGAGUAUAAAGGCAAAAGCGCGCUUGACUGCGAGACAGACACGUCGAGCAGGUACGAAAGUAGGUCUUAGUGAUCCGGUGGUUCUGUAUGGAAGGGCCAUCGCUCAACGGAUAAAAGGUACUCCGGGGAUAACAGGCUGAUACCGCCCAAGAGUUCAUAUCGACGGCGGUGUUUGGCACCUCGAUGUCGGCUCAUCACAUCCUGGGGCUGAAGCCGGUCCCAAGGGUAUGGCUGUUCGCCAUUUAAAGUGGUACGCGAGCUGGGUUUAGAACGUCGUGAGACAGUUCGGUCCCUAUCUGCCGUGGACGUUUGAGAUUUGAGAGGGGCUGCUCCUAGUACGAGAGGACCGGAGUGGACGAACCUCUGGUGUUCCGGUUGUCACGCCAGUGGCAUUGCCGGGUAGCUAUGUUCGGAAAAGAUAACCGCUGAAAGCAUCUAAGCGGGAAACUUGCCUCAAGAUGAGAUCUCACUGGAACCUUGAGUUCCCUGAAGGGUCGUCGAAGACUACGACGUUGAUAGGUUGGGUGUGUAAGCGCUGUGAGGCGUUGAGCUAACCAAUACUAAUUGCCCGUGAGGCUUGACCAUAUAACACCCAAGCAAUU